UAUUCAGGAAGGUGUUACUUAA
Molecule: microRNA, 22 nt
Filed under: Homo sapiens (human)
Lineage: Eukaryota; Metazoa; Chordata; Mammalia; Primates; Hominidae
Description: hsa-miR-506-5p
Gene: hsa-miR-506-5p
Source: miRBase by way of RNAcentral